RNAcentral lists this ribosomal RNA (254 nucleotides) under uncultured bacterium. RNAcentral describes it as "partial 16S ribosomal RNA". It matches the Rfam family "Archaeal small subunit ribosomal RNA", at positions 474 to 727 of the family's 1478-position model. The record is from RNAcentral.
UACCGGCAGCUCGAGUGAUGACCGAUUUUAUUGGGCCUAAAGCGUCCGUAGCUGGCCGCGCAAGUCCGUCGGGAAAUCCACCCGCUUAACGGGUGGGCGUCCGGCGGAAACUGUGCGGCUUGGGACAGGAAGGCUCGAGGGGUACGUUCGGGGUAGGAGUGAAAUCCCGUAAUCCUGAACGGACCGCCGAUGGCGAAAGCACCUCGAGAGGACUGAUCCGACAGUGCGGGACGAAAGCUGGGGUCUCGAACCGG